RNAcentral lists this ribosomal RNA (253 nucleotides) under uncultured bacterium. RNAcentral describes it as "partial 16S ribosomal RNA". It matches the Rfam family "Bacterial small subunit ribosomal RNA", at positions 524 to 776 of the family's 1533-position model. The record is from RNAcentral.
UACGUGGGUGGCAAGCGUUAUCCGGAUUUAUUGGGCGUAAAGGGAACGCAGGCGGUCUUUUAAGUCUGAUGUGAAAGCCUUCGGCUUAACCGGAGUAGUGCAUUGGAAACUGGGGGACUUGAGUGCAGAAGAGGAGAGUGGAACUCCAUGUGUAGCGGUGAAAUGCGUAGAUAUAUGGAAGAACACCAGUGGCGAAAGCGGCUCUCUGGUCUGUAACUGACGCUGAGGUUCGAAAGCGUGGGUAGCAAACAGG